UCAGCGUUCCGAACUGCCAUCCUAGAUCGCCAAAUACUGUGGAGGCCCAAGAGCAUACUGAGGUCAAAGUGGAAUACCAUCCUCAUUUUCAACUGGCAAAAAUCGUAUGCCGAAAGCGUCCACAGGUCGUGUGAUCAGCAGCACAACGCCACGACCACGGUCUACCACGUUUCUCUGAAUUCUCUGAAGAUUUCUCUGAAGAUUUUCGAUAAGCCUUCAAUGCCUAACCUGAGCCUACGGUUCCAUAUUUUACUUCUGCGAUAUUUAAGUAUACCUCAUUCAAUGUGAACGGCAUUUCAUGCGCAAUAAAGCUAUAGGAAUUUAGUGUUUUCAAAGUUCAUGUCGCAUAAAAAAAUUGAACUGCACAACUUUGAUUACACCGACCAACCGAUACGGCAUAUUAACUAAAUCUUAAAAAAAAAAACAA
This is a non-coding RNA of Dermacentor andersoni, 427 nucleotides long. NCBI's taxonomy places the organism in Eukaryota, Metazoa, Arthropoda, Arachnida, Ixodida, Ixodidae. The record is from RefSeq and is a predicted model, not a curated record.